AACGAACGCUGGCGGCAUGCCUAACACAUGCAAGUCGAACGCGUGUAGCAAUACACGAGUGGCGGACGGGUGAGUAACGCGUGGGAACCUGCCCAAUGGUAGGGAAUAACUGCGGGAAACUGCAGCUAAUACCCUAUGCUCCCUACGGGGGAAAGAUUUAUCGCCAUUGGAGGGGCCCGCGUCGGAUUAGCUAGUUGGCGGGGUAACGGCCCACCAAGGCUACGAUCCGUAGCUGGUCUGAGAGGAUGAUCAGCCACACUGGGACUGAGAUACGGCCCAGACUCCUACGGGAGGCAGCAGUGGGGAAUAUUGGACAAUGGGGGAAACCCUGAUCCAGCAAUGCCGCGUGAGUGAAGAAGGCCUUAGGGUUGUAAAGCUCUUUCGGCGGGACGAUGGUGACGGUACCCGCAGAAGAAGCCCCGGCUAACUUCGUGCCA
Molecule: ribosomal RNA, 437 nt
Filed under: uncultured bacterium
Lineage: Bacteria
Description: bacterial SSU rRNA
Rfam family: Bacterial small subunit ribosomal RNA
Source: RNAcentral